Molecule: long non-coding RNA, 449 nt
Organism: Cryptotermes secundus
Lineage: Eukaryota; Metazoa; Arthropoda; Insecta; Blattodea; Kalotermitidae
Exons: 3
Source: RefSeq, a predicted model, not a curated record
GUACUGCGAUUGGCCACCGACAGGAAGUCCGGGUUGCAUUAUGCAUAAUAUGCGGCGUUAGUUUUGUCAGUAUGGCUAUUGGAUGGACCUUCGCAGUUCGAUGAUGUGAGAUGUGAUAAGUGUGCUCGCGGUCAGUUGUGUCAUUUAUGGGCUGGGGGUGAGAAAACUCAACAAGACGUCCUUUACGUACAUUUUAAAGAGCCACACCUUACUGCCGAGUUAUUCUAGAAAUUGUGUCAGUCUCCCCCCAUAACCCCAGCUGUGAAUGUAGUACUCGUCACCACUCACAGUGAAGAUCAUAGAACUAUUCUCUUGUCACCAAUGACAAAGGAGAUUGAAUUGGCUCCAGGUAGAUGGGUUGGAGGAUCACAUCCAUGUUUCAUAAUUGCUGAAGUCGGACAAAAUCACCAAGGUGACAUGAACAUAGCUAAAACAUUAAUAAGAGCAGC